CCGGCCGCGUCCCUUACCCAGCAUCGGCCUCCUCCUCCCCCCAUGUCAAUGAUGGUCGCCUAGUGGAUGCAGACCGUCUUCUUUCCCGCCGCCGGCCACCUCUUCCCCUUGCUCUGGACGCCUCCGUCCCUCCCUCCACUGUGCGCCUCCUGCUGGAUCCCGCCUUUGAGCGCGUUGGCCGCCCUGGCCACAACCGUGCCUCGUCCUCCCCCGCGGCUACCCCCGCCAGGGGCUACCCAGCUCGCCGGAUCCGCUGGGUGCACGCGUUCCUCGCCGCCGUGAGUCACAAGGGAGGUUGAACGGGCUGCAGAAUGCGGGUUUGGUUGCCAUUGCGUCCAACAGUCCAACCCCAUCGCCCCAGGCCAUCCAGCGACCUGUCGGGCUAUAGUAUUCCAUUGCAAGUCGGUGAGCAACAUUAGCGACCGUACUCUCCAACUGCCCCAUGGAUAUUAUAUGAACAUUAGCAAUGCUAGUGAAGAUGGUGGGUGUGAUUCUACUUGGACUGGCGUCAACCCUCGACUUGGACGGCUG
Molecule: long non-coding RNA, 531 nt
Organism: Triticum dicoccoides
Lineage: Eukaryota; Viridiplantae; Streptophyta; Magnoliopsida; Poales; Poaceae
Exons: 3
Source: RefSeq, a predicted model, not a curated record